This 372-nucleotide ribosomal RNA is filed under the name uncultured bacterium. Its description in RNAcentral is "bacterial SSU rRNA". It matches the Rfam family "Bacterial small subunit ribosomal RNA", at positions 527 to 896 of the family's 1533-position model. The record is from RNAcentral.
GUAGGGUGCAAGCGUUGUCCGGAAUUAUUGGGCGUAAAGAGCUCGUAGGCGGUUUGUCGCGUCGGCUGUGAAAACUCGGGGCUCAACCCCGAGCCUGCAGUCGAUACGGGCAGACUAGAGUGCGGUAGGGGAGACUGGAAUUCCUGGUGUAGCGGUGAAAUGCGCAGAUAUCAGGAGGAACACCGGUGGCGAAGGCGGGUCUCUGGGCCGUAACUGACGCUGAGGAGCGAAAGCGUGGGGAGCAAACAGGAUUAGAUACCCUGGUAGUCCACGCCGUAAACGGUGGGUGCUAGGUGUAGGCGGUAUUCCACGCCGUCUGUGCCGCAGCUAACGCAUUAAGCACCCCGCCUGGGGAGUACGGCCGCAAGGCUA